RNAcentral lists this ribosomal RNA (448 nucleotides) under uncultured bacterium. RNAcentral's name for it is "bacterial SSU rRNA". It matches the Rfam family "Bacterial small subunit ribosomal RNA", at positions 329 to 793 of the family's 1533-position model. The record is from RNAcentral.
CACCAGACUCCUACGGGAGGCAGCAGUGGGGGAUAUUGCACAAUGGGGGAAACCCUGAUGCAGCGACGCCGCGUGAGUGAAGAAGUAUUUCGGUAUGUAAAGCUCUAUCAGCAGGGAAGAAGAAAGACGGUACCUGAGUAAGAAGCCCCGACUAACUACGUGCCAGCAGCCGCGGUAAUACGUAGGGGGCAAGCGUUAUCCGGAUUUACUGGGUGUAAAGGGAGCGUAGACGGUAUGGCAAGUCUGAAGUGAAAGCCCCGGGCUCAACCUGGGAACUGCUUUGGAAACUGUUAAACUAGAGUGCUGGAGAGGUAAUCGGAAUUCCUUGUGUAGCGGUGAAAUGCGUAGAUAUAAGGAAGAACACCAGUGGCGAAGGCGGAUUACUGGACGAUAACUGACGGUGAGGCGCGAAAGCGUGGGGAGCAAACAGGAUUAGAUACCCCUGUAA